UAAACGUCUCAGUUCGGAUUGCAGGCUGCAACCCGCCUGCAUGAAGCCGGAAUCGCUAGUAAUCGCGGAUCAGAAUGCCGCGGUGAAUACGUUCCCGGGUCUUGUACACACCGCCCGUCACACCAUGGGAGUCGAUAACGCCCGAAGUCAGUGACCCAACCGUAAAGGAGGGAGCUGCCGAAGGCGGGAUGGAUAACUGGGGUGAAGUCGUAACAAGGUAUC
Molecule: ribosomal RNA, 222 nt
Filed under: uncultured bacterium
Lineage: Bacteria
Description: partial 16S ribosomal RNA
Rfam family: Bacterial small subunit ribosomal RNA
Source: RNAcentral